This 750-nucleotide ribosomal RNA is filed under the name uncultured bacterium. Its description in RNAcentral is "bacterial SSU rRNA". It matches the Rfam family "Bacterial small subunit ribosomal RNA", at positions 8 to 794 of the family's 1533-position model. The record is from RNAcentral.
AGAGUUUGAUCAUGGCUCAGAACGAACGCUGGCGGCAGGCCUAACACAUGCAAGUCGAACGAGAAGCCACCUUCGGGUGGUGGAUAGUGGCAGACGGGUGAGUAACGCGUGGGAACGUGCCUUUCGGUUCGGAAUAACCCAGGGAAACUUGGGCUAAUACCGGAUACGCCCUUCGGGGGAAAGAUUCAUUGCCGAAAGAUCGGCCCGCGUCGGAUUAGCUUGUUGGUGGGGUAACGGCCUACCAAGGCGACGAUCCGUAGCUGGUCUGAGAGGAUGACCAGCCACACUGGGACUGAGACACGGCCCAGACUCCUACGGGAGGCAGCAGUGGGGAAUAUUGGACAAUGGGCGCAAGCCUGAUCCAGCCAUGCCGCGUGGGUGAAGAAGGCCUUAGGGUUGUAAACCCCUUUCAGCGGGGAAGAURAUGACGGUACCCGCAGAAGAAGCCCCGGCUAACUCCGUGCCAGCAGCCGCGGUAAUACGGAGGGGGCUAGCGUUGUUCGGAAUUACUGGGCGUAAAGCGCGCGUAGGCGGAUCUGCAAGUCAGGGGUGAAAUCCCGAGGCUCAACCUCGGAACUGCCUUUGAUACUGCGGAUCUCGAGUCCGAGAGAGGUGAGUGGAAUUCCUAGUGUAGAGGUGAAAUUCGUAGAUAUUAGGAAGAACACCAGUGGCGAAGGCGGCUCACUGGCUCGGUACUGACGCUGAGGCGCGAAAGCGUGGGRAGCAAACAGGAUUAGAUACCCUGGUAGU